CAGUAGCCACGGUAAUACGAAGGGGGCUAGCGUUGCUCGGAAUCACUGGGCGUAAAGGGUGCGUAGGCGGGUCUUUAAGUCAGGGGUGAAGUCCUGGAGCUCAACUCCAGAACUGCCUUUGAUACUGAAGAUCUUGAGUUCGGGAGAGGUGAGUGGAACUGCGAGUGUAGAGGUGAAAUUCGUAGAUAUUCGCAAGAACACCAGUGGCGAAGGCGGCUCACUGGCCCGAUACUGACGCUGAGGCACGAAAGCUAGGGGAGCAAAUGGGAUUAGAUACCCGUGUAGUCCCUGUCUCUUAUAC
RNAcentral lists this ribosomal RNA (301 nucleotides) under uncultured bacterium. Its description in RNAcentral is "partial 16S ribosomal RNA". It matches the Rfam family "Bacterial small subunit ribosomal RNA", at positions 509 to 807 of the family's 1533-position model. The record is from RNAcentral.